This 510-nucleotide ribosomal RNA is filed under the name uncultured bacterium. RNAcentral describes it as "partial 16S ribosomal RNA". It matches the Rfam family "Bacterial small subunit ribosomal RNA", at positions 28 to 507 of the family's 1533-position model. The record is from RNAcentral.
GACGAACGCUGGCGGCGUGCUUAACACAUGCAAGUCGAACGAAGAGCGACGGAAGCUUGCUUCUAUCAAUCUUAGUGGCGCACGGGUGAGUAACGCGUAAUCAACCUGCCCUUCAGAGGGGGACAACAGUUGGAAACGACUGCUAAUACCGCAUACGAUCUAACCUCGGCAUCGAGGAUAGAUGAAAGGUGGCCUCUACAUGUAAGCUAUCACUGAAGGAGGGGAUUGCGUCUGAUUAGCUAGUUGGAGGGGUAACGGCCCACCAAGGCGAUGAUCAGUAGCCGGUCUGAGAGGAUGAACGGCCACAUUGGGGCUGAGACACGGCCCAGACUCCUACGGGAGGCAGCAGUGGGGAAUCUUCCGCAAUGGACGAAAGUCUGACGGAGCAACGCCGCGUGAGUGAUGACGGCCUUCGGGUUGUAAAGCUCUGUUAAUCGGGACGAAAGGCCUUCUUGCGAAUAGUGAGAAGGAUUGGCGGUACCGGAAUAGAAAGCCACGGCUAACUACGUG